AGCGAACGCUGGCGGCAGGCCUAACACACGCAAGUCGAGCGAACUCUUCGGAGUUAGUGGCGGACGGGUGAGUAACACGUGGGAACGUGCCUUUUGGUUCGGAAUAACUCAGGGAAACUUGUGCUAAUACCGAAUGUGCCCUUCGGGGGAAAGAUUUAUCGCCAUUAGAGCGGCCCGCGUCUGAUUAGCUAGUUGGUGAGGUAACGGCUCACCAAGGCGACGAUCAGUAGCUGGUCUGAGAGGAUGACCAGCCACACUGGGACUGAGACACGGCCCAGACUCCUACGGGAGGCAGCAGUGGGGAAUCUUGCGCAAUGGGCGAAAGCCUGACGCAGCCAUGCCGCGUGAAUGAUGAAGGUCUUAGGAUUGUAAAAUUCUUUCACCGGGGACGAUAAUGACGGUACCCGGAGAAGAAGCCCCGGCUAACUUCGUG
RNAcentral lists this ribosomal RNA (433 nucleotides) under uncultured bacterium. Its description in RNAcentral is "partial 16S ribosomal RNA". It matches the Rfam family "Bacterial small subunit ribosomal RNA", at positions 29 to 507 of the family's 1533-position model. The record is from RNAcentral.